This is an RNA transcript of Gordionus sp. m RMFG-2023, 2543 nucleotides long. It is a transcript of the gene named sodium- and chloride-dependent glycine transporter 2-like, with no coding region annotated. The record is from RefSeq and is a predicted model, not a curated record. The transcript is spliced from 15 exons. NCBI's taxonomy places the organism in Eukaryota, Metazoa, Nematomorpha, Gordioida, Chordodea, Parachordodidae.
UGUUUUGCAUAAUUAUAUUAUAAAUAGUAAUAUUUAAAAAAAUUUUCACAUCUUACAAAUAAUAUUAUUAUUUAAAUUCAAAAAUCGAUUUCUAACAAGGUAAUUUAAAGAUAAAUAGUCGCAUCGCAUAUUCGAGAAAAAAAGAAAGAUCAAUUAUAAAUUUCAAACGCAAGUUUACAUUUUCUCUUCACCCAAUAUAUGAGCCAUUACCUUACAAGCCGAGAAUAUGACAUCAAAAGAAAAAUCUUUAAAAAAUAUCCCAAGCAUGCCAGAAAAAAGUGAAGAUUUAGGAAUGAGCCAAGACAUCAGCGAAAAGAACUAUCGAGGCCAAUGGGGCAACCAUGCAGAAUUUAUUUUAUCUAUCAUAGGUUAUUCUAUCGGUUUCGGAAAUGUCUGGAGAUUCCCCUACGUGUGUUAUGAUAAUGGUGGAGGAGCUUUUCUCAUUCCAUACAUCAUAAUGCUCUUCUUGAUAGGGAAGCCUUUGUACUUCCUGGAAUUAGCUCUAGGUCAAUUUACUAGGCAAGGACCUCCAGGUGCUUUUAAAUUAGCUCCAAUAACUAUGGGAAUCGGCUAUGCUAUGUUAUUAACUUGUUUAAUUAUUUGUGUGUACUACAAUGUUCUGAUGGUCUACACGCUCUAUUAUACUUUUGCCUCUUUUCAAAGGCAUCUUCCCUGGACACAUUGCAACAACUCUUUCAAUACGAAAAGUUGUUACGACGUCAGAACAUAUCGAAAUCAUACCAAUCAAACGCCCUUAACGGCUUCUAACUUAACUCGCAUUUCUAAUAGUUGGACGAACAAUAACGUUACCAAUUUAACUGGUUUUACUAAGCCCUCUGAUUUAACUGGCCUUUCCAAUUUUACCCAUUUAAUCGAGGGAAAUUCCACAUCUAUGAUUAAUCUGUCUGCAGCCAUAUCUAGAGCGUCGUCUAUGGAAGAAUUCUGGAAAAUAAAAGUAUUAGGGAUAGACAGAUCUACUGGUAUUGAUGAUCCAGGUUCCAUAAAAUGGGAUUUAGCUUUGACACUUUUUCUAUCUUGGGCCAUCGUAUUUGGUAUGCUUUUCAAAGGAAUUCAGACAUCCGGAAAAGUUAUAUACGUUACCGCGACCCUCCCUUAUUUGCUCCUAACUAUCUUACUUAUUAAGGGAAGCACUCUUAAUGGAGCACGGGAUGGAAUAUUAUACCUAUUUAAUCCACAAUGGCGCAAGCUAUUAAAUAUUAAAGUCUGGAGGGCCGCCUGUGCCCAGAUAUUUUAUUCUCUGAGUUUAGCUAUGGGGGGUAUAACCACGUUUUCCAGUUUCAACCCCUUCCAUAACAACUGUUACAAGGAUGCUAUGAUAGUGAGCAUAAUGGAUACAGUUACAAGUAUGAUGGCGGGAAUCGUCAUCUUUUCUUACUUAGGAAAUAUGGUUCAGGAGUUGAAUAUUACAUUAGAAGAAGGCGUUAAAACUAUAUCAGGUCCCGGUUUAGUCUUUAUAGUGUAUCCACGGGCCGUUUCCGGUCUUCCAAUACCUCAGUUAUGGUCCGUCCUUUUUUUCGUCAUGCUUUACAGCCUGGGUUUGGAUAGUUCGGUUGCUUUAAUUUCCACCUUAACCAGCGCGAUUCACGAUCAACUCCCCAAAUUUUUUCCUUGGAAACACAAGACUUACCUAUGUUUGGCUUUAUGUUUUAUUUGCUUCUUACUUGGAUUGCCAUUUAUAACUUACGGAGGUUUCUACGUAUUCGAUUUAGUAAACUUUUACGUUGGAGAUUUUUGCCUAAUUAUGAUAGCGGCCACGGAACUCAUCGCUAUCAUGUGGAUAUAUGGUAUCAAAAAAUUUAUCAAGGACAUCGAAGUCAUGUUAGGUCGUAAAUUACCCCAAAAAUGGUAUUGGUAUACCACCUGGUCUAUCAUGGGUCCCAUUAUUUUAUUGGCCAUAGCUAUCGCUUCAUUAUACGAUCUAAUUACGCAAGGAGAACACAAAUUAGAUAAUUAUGGUUAUCCAGGAUGGGCACAUAAUUUUGGUUGGACAAUUAUGACCCUCAUUUUAGCCCAAAUUGUUAUAGUCGGGAGUAUAUACUUUUACCAUCAACCUGGCGACCUUAAGGAGAAAAUUCUAAAAUUAAUAUCGGCGCUUGGAAUCGGAAUCUUUCUCGCAUCCUUACAUUUAUAGGGUAGACAUAAAUAAAGCCAAGAAAAUUAUAAAUACAGUACCUCAAGGCAAAGUCACGACAUUAGUGCCUCCUUUGAUAAAUCCUCGACAAGAAGUUGGAGACAGUGAUGUGGGGAAUUCUGGGAACUUGUUGGAGGAAAGUCAAAUGUUCAAUCCUCCACAAGAUGUUGGAGACAGUGAUGUGGGGAUUUCUGGGAACUUGUUGGAAGAAAGUCAAAUGUUCAAUCCUCCACAAGAAGCUGGAGACAGUGAUCUGGGGAUAAUUUGUACUUUAAGUUUGUUCAUAAUUGCAUAAUGCUCUUCUUUAGAUUUAUCAGGAUGGUGGUGAAUAUGUUUUAAUGUAAAUUUCUUUUUAUUACAAAUUCAAUUAUUUUUUAGAUAUUUUUAUUAU